UGGGGAAUUUUGGACAAUGGGCGAAAGCCUGAUCCAGCAAUGCCGCGUGUGUGAAGAAGGCCUUCGGGUUGUAAAGCACUUUUGUCCGGAAAGAAAUCCUUGGCUCUAAUACAGUCGGGGGAUGACGGUACCGGAAGAAUAAGCACCGGCUAACUACGUGCCAGCAGCCGCGGUAAUACGUAGGGUGCAAGCGUUAAUCGGAAUUACUGGGCGUAAAGCGUGCGCAGGCGGUUUGCUAAGACCGAUGUGAAAUCCCCGGGCCCAACCUGGGAACUGCAUUGGUGACUGGCAGGCUAGAGUAUGGCAGAGGGGGGUAGAAUUCCACGUGUAGCAGUGAAAUGCGUAGAGAUGUGGAGGAAUACCGAUGGCGAAGGCAGCCCCCUGGGCCAAUACUGACGCUCAUGCACGAAAAGCGUGGGGGAGCAAACAGGAUUAGAUACCCUGGUAGUCCACGCCCUAAACGAUGUCAACUAGUUGUUGGGGAUUCAUUUCCUUAGUAACGUAGCUAACGCGUGAAGUUGACCGCCU
RNAcentral lists this ribosomal RNA (528 nucleotides) under uncultured bacterium. Its description in RNAcentral is "partial 16S ribosomal RNA". It matches the Rfam family "Bacterial small subunit ribosomal RNA", at positions 355 to 874 of the family's 1533-position model. The record is from RNAcentral.